Molecule: ribosomal RNA, 253 nt
Filed under: uncultured bacterium
Lineage: Bacteria
Description: partial 16S ribosomal RNA
Rfam family: Bacterial small subunit ribosomal RNA
Source: RNAcentral
UACGGACGGUGCAAGCGUUGCUCGGAAUUACUGGGCGUAAAGGGCGCGUAGGCGGCCUUCUAAGUCGAACGUGAAAUCCCUGGGCUCAACCCAGGAACUGCGUCCGAUACUGGCCGGCUUGAAUUCGGGAGAGGGAUGCGGAAUUCCAGGUGUAGCGGUGAAAUGCGUAGAUAUCUGGAGGAACACCGGUGGCGAAGGCGGCAUCCUGGACCGAGAUUGACGCUGAGGCGCGAAAGCCAGGGGAGCAAACGGG